GGAGAGAUGGCCGAGUGGUCUAAGGCACAUUCCUGGAAAGUAUGUUCACUGAAUACAGUGUCAAGGGUUCGAAUCCCUUUCUCUCCG
RNAcentral lists this transfer RNA (87 nucleotides) under Candidatus Walczuchella monophlebidarum. Its description in RNAcentral is "tRNA-Ser (GGA) (tRNA-Ser-GGA-1-1)". It matches the Rfam family "tRNA". From Rfam's summary of the family: Transfer RNA (tRNA) molecules are approximately 80 nucleotides in length. Their secondary structure includes four short double-helical elements and three loops (D, anti-codon, and T loops). Further hydrogen bonds mediate the characteristic L-shaped molecular structure. tRNAs have two regions of fundamental functional importance: the anti-codon, which is responsible for specific mRNA codon recognition, and the 3' end, to which the tRNAs corresponding amino acid is attached (by aminoacyl-tRNA synthetases). tRNAs cope with the degeneracy of the genetic code in two manners: having more than one tRNA (with a specific anti-codon) for a particular amino acid; and 'wobble' base-pairing, i.e. permitting non-standard base-pairing at the 3rd anti-codon position. The record is from Rfam by way of RNAcentral. Lineage: Bacteria; Pseudomonadati; Bacteroidota; Flavobacteriia; Flavobacteriales.